Molecule: signal recognition particle RNA, 97 nt
Filed under: Melioribacteraceae bacterium
Lineage: Bacteria; Pseudomonadati; Ignavibacteriota; Ignavibacteria; Ignavibacteriales; Melioribacteraceae
Description: signal recognition particle sRNA small type
Rfam family: Bacterial small signal recognition particle RNA
About the family: The signal recognition particle (SRP) is a universally conserved ribonucleoprotein involved in the co-translational targeting of proteins to membranes. Archaeal SRP consists of a 7S RNA and homologues of the eukaryotic SRP19 and SRP54 proteins.
Source: RNAcentral
UGCCAGGUGCUGGCUAACAGAUUGUCGCCCAAUUCCGCCAGGACCGGAAGGUAGCAACGGUAAGUGUUCAAUUUGUGUAGUUAUGUGCCUGGCUUUU